RNAcentral lists this long non-coding RNA (228 nucleotides) under Volvox carteri. Its description in RNAcentral is "long non-coding RNA (VCAR_LNC000624)". The record is from RNAcentral. Lineage: Eukaryota; Viridiplantae; Chlorophyta; Chlorophyceae; Chlamydomonadales; Volvocaceae.
AAGGAAAUCAUCCAGCGGCUGCCUUCUGCAUGGCAGUGAAGGCGCUGCAGCUCACAAGCUUUCACGACAACGCCCGUUUUUCGAUCGCUGCCUGAGGCGAGCAAAGUUGCUGGAGCAAGACGCGGAGGAGGAGGUACGGCAGCUGCUUCAAAACGGCCUUCACUCGGAAGUUCGCAGACAACUCAUAGACAGCUGGCCAGGCAAUGGGACAACAGAGGCAGCACGGUG